GAUGAACGCUGGCGGCGUGCCUAAUACAUGCAAGUCGAGCGAACAGAUGAGGAGCUUGCUCCUCUGACGUUAGCGGCGGACGGGUGAGUAACACGUGGAUAACCUACCUAUAAGACUGGGAUAACUUCGGGAAACCGGAGCUAAUACCGGAUAAUAUAUUGAACCGCAUGGUUCAAUAGUGAAAGACGGUUUUGCUGUCACUUAUAGAUGGAUCCGCGCCGCAUUAGCUAGUUGGUAAGGUAACGGCUUACCAAGGCAACGAUGCGUAGCCGACCUGAGAGGGUGAUCGGCCACACUGGAACUGAGACACGGUCCAGACGCCUACGGGAGGCAGCAGUAGGGAAUCUUCCGCAAUGGGCGAAAGCCUGACGGAGCAACGCCGCGUGAGUGAUGAAGGUCUUCGGAUCGUAAAACUCUGUUAUUAGGGAAGAACAAAUGUGUAAGUAACGAUGCACGUCUUGACGGUACCUAAUCAGAAAGCCACGGCUAACUACGUG
RNAcentral lists this ribosomal RNA (497 nucleotides) under uncultured bacterium. RNAcentral's name for it is "partial 16S ribosomal RNA". It matches the Rfam family "Bacterial small subunit ribosomal RNA", at positions 28 to 507 of the family's 1533-position model. The record is from RNAcentral.